CCUACGGGAGGCAGCAGUGAGGAAUAUUGGUCAAUGGGCGCAAGCCUGAACCAGCCAAGUCGCGUGAGGGAUGACGGUCCUAUGGAUUGUAAACCUCUUUUGUCGGGGAGCAAGGCCCGCCACGUGUGGCGGGAAGGAGAGUACCCGAAGAAAAAGCAUCGGCUAACUCCGUGCCAGCAGCCGCGGUAAUACGGAGGAUGCGAGCGUGAUCCGGAUUUAUUGGGUUUAAAGGGUGCGUAGGCGGAAGGUUAAGUCAGCGGUCAAAUGUCGGUGCGCAACACCGGCCUGCCGUUGAAACUGGUCGUCUUGAGUGAGCGAGAAGUAUGCGGAAUGCGUGGUGUAGCGGUGAAAUGCAUAGAUAUCACGCAGAACUCAGAUUGCGAAGGCAGCAUACCGGCGCUCAACUGACGCUGAGGCACGAAAGCGUGGGGAUCGAACAGGAUUAGAUACCCCAGUAGUC
RNAcentral lists this ribosomal RNA (460 nucleotides) under uncultured bacterium. RNAcentral's name for it is "partial 16S ribosomal RNA". It matches the Rfam family "Bacterial small subunit ribosomal RNA", at positions 338 to 795 of the family's 1533-position model. The record is from RNAcentral.